CCUACGGGUGGCAGCAGUGAGGAAUAUUGGUCAAUGGGCGCGAGCCUGAACCAGCCAAGUCGCGUGAGGGAAGACGGUCCUAUGGAUUGUAAACCUCUUUUGUCGGGGAGCAAAAGACGCCACGCGUGGCGUUCCGAGAGUACCCGAAGAAAAAGCAUCGGCUAACUCCGUGCCAGCAGCCGCGGUAAUACGGAGGAUGUGAGCGUUAUCCGGAUUUAUUGGGUUUAAAGGGUGCGCAGGCGGAAGAUCAAGUCAGCGGUAAAAUUGAGAGGCUCAACCUCUUCGAGCCGUUGAAACUGGUUGUCUUGAGUGAGUGAGAAGUAUGCGGAAUGCGUGGUGUAGCGGUGAAAUGCAUAGAUAUCACGCAGAACUCCGAUUGCGAAGGCAGCAUACCGGCGCUCAACUGACGCUCAUGCACGAAAGUGUGGGUAUCGAACAGGAGUAGAUACCCCAGUAGUC
Molecule: ribosomal RNA, 459 nt
Filed under: uncultured bacterium
Lineage: Bacteria
Description: partial 16S ribosomal RNA
Rfam family: Bacterial small subunit ribosomal RNA
Source: RNAcentral